This 254-nucleotide ribosomal RNA is filed under the name uncultured bacterium. RNAcentral describes it as "partial 16S ribosomal RNA". It matches the Rfam family "Bacterial small subunit ribosomal RNA", at positions 524 to 776 of the family's 1533-position model. The record is from RNAcentral.
UACGGGGGGAGCAAGCGUUGUUCGGAUUUACUGGGCGUAAAGGGCGCGUAGGCGGCCAGCGCAAGUCAGUUGUGAAAUCUCCGGGCUUAACUCGGAACGGUCAACUGAUACUGCGCGGCUAGAGUGCGGAAGGGGCAACUGGAAUUCUCGGUGUAGCGGUGAAAUGCGUAGAUAUCGAGAGGAACACCUGCGGCGAAGGCGGGUUGCUGGGCCGACACUGACGCUGAGACGCGAAAGCGUGGGGAGCGAACAGG